This 459-nucleotide ribosomal RNA is filed under the name uncultured bacterium. RNAcentral describes it as "bacterial SSU rRNA". It matches the Rfam family "Bacterial small subunit ribosomal RNA", at positions 29 to 531 of the family's 1533-position model. The record is from RNAcentral.
AACGAACGCUGGCGGCAUGCCUAACACAUGCAAGUCGAACGAAGCCUUCGGGCUUAGUGGCGCACGGGUGCGUAACACGUGGGAAUCUGCCCUUCGGUUCGGAAUAACAGUUAGAAAUGACUGCUAAUACCGGAUGAUGACGAAAGUCCAAAGAUUUAUCGCCGAAGGAUGAGCCCGCGUAGGAUUAGGUAGUUGGUAGGGUAAUGGCCUACCAAGCCGACGAUCCUUAGCUGGUCUGAGAGGAUGAUCAGCCACACUGGGACUGAGACACGGCCCAGACUCCUACGGGAGGCAGCAGUGGGGAAUAUUGGACAAUGGGCGAAAGCCUGAUCCAGCAAUGCCGCGUGAGUGAUGAAGGCCUUAGGGUUGUAAAGCUCUUUUACCAGGGAUGAUAAUGACAGUACCUGGAGAAUAAGCUCCGGCUAACUCCGUGCCAGCAGCCGGGUAAAGUACUGUACU